AUUGAACGCUGGCGGCAGGCCUAACACAUGCAAGUCGAGCGGAUGAAGGGAGCUUGCUCCUGGAUUCAGCUGCGGACGGGCGAGUAAUGCCUAGGAAUCUGCCUGGUAUAGGGGGCUAACGUCCGGAAACGGGCGCUGAUACCGCAUACGUCCUGAGGGAGAAAGUGAGGGAUCUUCGGACCUCACGCUAUCAGAUGUGCCUAGGUCGGAUUAGCUAGUUGGUUAGGUAAAGGCCUACCAAGGCGACGAUCCGUAACUGGUCUGAGAGGAUGAUCAGUCACACUGGAACUGAGACACGGUCCAGACUCCUACGGGAGGCAGCAGUAGGGAAUAUUCGACAAUGGGCGAAAGCCUGACCCAGCAAUGCCGCGUGUGUGAAGAAGGUCUUCGGAUCGUAAAGCACUGUAAGUUGGGAGGAAGGGAAGUGAGAUAAUACCUUGCUGUUUUGACGUUACCAAAAGAAUAAGCACCGGCUAACUUCGUG
RNAcentral lists this ribosomal RNA (484 nucleotides) under uncultured bacterium. Its description in RNAcentral is "partial 16S ribosomal RNA". It matches the Rfam family "Bacterial small subunit ribosomal RNA", at positions 30 to 507 of the family's 1533-position model. The record is from RNAcentral.